This 510-nucleotide ribosomal RNA is filed under the name uncultured Pseudomonadota bacterium. RNAcentral describes it as "bacterial SSU rRNA". It matches the Rfam family "Bacterial small subunit ribosomal RNA", at positions 394 to 896 of the family's 1533-position model. Lineage: Bacteria; Pseudomonadati; Pseudomonadota. The record is from RNAcentral.
AUGCCGCGUGAGUGAUGAAGGCCUUCGGGUUGUAAAGCUCUGUGGGGAGGGGAGAAAAAGCGCGUUCUAACAGGACGCGUGUUGACGGUACCUCCUUAGCAAGCACCGGCUAACUCUGUGCCAGCAGCCGCGGUAAGACAGAGGGUGCAAACGUUGCUCGGAAUCACUGGGCGUAAAGGGCGUGUAGGCGGGCAGGUAAGUCGGGCGUGAAAUCCCUGGGCUCAACCCAGGAACUGCACUCGAAACUACUUGCCUUGAGUGCCGGAGAGGAAAGCGGAAUACCUGGUGUAGAGGUGAAAUUCGUAGAUAUCAGGUGGAACACCAGUGGCGAAGGCGGCUUUCUGGACGGUAACUGACGCUGAGACGCGAAAGCGUGGGGAGCAAACAGGAUUAGAUACCCUGGUAGUCCACGCUGUAAACGAUGAGUGCUAGGUGUCGUGGGUAUUGACCCCCGCGGUGCCGUAGCUAACGCAUUAAGCACUCCGCCUGGGAAGUACGGUCGCAAGACUA